Molecule: long non-coding RNA, 379 nt
Organism: Stegodyphus dumicola
Lineage: Eukaryota; Metazoa; Arthropoda; Arachnida; Araneae; Eresidae
Source: RefSeq, a predicted model, not a curated record
UCUGGGGAGUCAGCACCCUGCUGAAUUGUAGUAAACGAGACGUCCAAUCUACUAGACUAGACCAUCAAAGAUGCAGAUUUGGAUUUUCUAUUUCAUAGUUAUUGAAAUCAUAAUGAGAAUGAAGUACUGCCACUAAGGUAAAGGUGCUAACUUGCAAGGAGCUGUUCUCAAAACAUUGGGUGACAAAGAAUUCACUUUUACAAAAAUCGAGCAGGAUAUUAAAGACAGCGAACUAUAGAACAAAUAUGGCGAAGCUGCAUGAAGUCUAUGUUGAAUUUUAUUAUUGAAAAAAAUAUGCUCUUCAGAUUUAAUGUUAGUUUUUAUUGUUUAACAGUAAUUGCAGUUUUCGAAUACCUGUAAAAUAAACCUAAUUCUUAAA